GGCCGACUAGCUCAGUUGGUUAGAGCGUCGUGCUAAUAAUUUGCGGGAGAGUCGUGAGAUUACGCGAAGGUCUUGGGUUCGAUCCCCACGUUGGCCA
Molecule: transfer RNA, 97 nt
Filed under: Lentinula raphanica
Lineage: Eukaryota; Fungi; Basidiomycota; Agaricomycetes; Agaricales; Omphalotaceae
Description: tRNA-Ile
Rfam family: tRNA
About the family: Transfer RNA (tRNA) molecules are approximately 80 nucleotides in length. Their secondary structure includes four short double-helical elements and three loops (D, anti-codon, and T loops).
Source: RNAcentral